RNAcentral lists this ribosomal RNA (497 nucleotides) under uncultured bacterium. RNAcentral describes it as "partial 16S ribosomal RNA". It matches the Rfam family "Bacterial small subunit ribosomal RNA", at positions 28 to 507 of the family's 1533-position model. The record is from RNAcentral.
GAUGAACGCUGGCGGCGUGCCUAAUACAUGCAAGUCGAGCGAACAGAUGAGGAGCUUGCUCCUCUGACGUUAGCGGCGGACGGGUGAGUAACACGUGGAUAACCUACCUAUAAGACUGGGAUAACUUCGGGAAACCGGAGCUAAUACCGGAUAAUAUAUUGAACCGCAUGGUUCAAUAGUGAAAGACGGUUUUGCUGUCACUUAUAGAUGGAUCCGCGCCGCAUUAGCUAGUUGGUAAGGUAACGGCUUACCAAGGCAACGAUGCGUAGCCGACCUGAGAGGGUGAUCGGCCCCACUGGAACUGAGACACGGUCCAGACUCCUACGGGAGGCAGCAGUAGGGAAUCUUCCGCAAUGGGCGAAAGCCUGACGGAGCCACGCCGCGUGAGUGAUGAAGGUCUUCGGAUCGUAAAACUCUGUUAUUAGGGAAGAACAAAUGUGUAAGUAACUAUGCACGUCUUGACGGUACCUAAUCAGAAAGCCACGGCUAACUACGUG